This 464-nucleotide ribosomal RNA is filed under the name uncultured bacterium. RNAcentral's name for it is "partial 16S ribosomal RNA". It matches the Rfam family "Bacterial small subunit ribosomal RNA", at positions 28 to 507 of the family's 1533-position model. The record is from RNAcentral.
GACGAACGCUGGCGGCGUGCUUAACACAUGCAAGUCGAACGGAAAGGCCCCCUUUUGGGGUACUCGAGGAGCGAACGGGGGAGUAACACGUGAGUAACCUACCCCUGACUAUGGGAUAACUUCAGGAAACUGGGGUUAAUACUGCAUAGGAGCUCCUGCUGCAUGGUGGGGGUUGGAAAGUAUCGGCGGUUGGGGAUGGACUCGCGGCUUAUCAGCUUGUUGGUGGGGUAGUGGGUCACCAAGGCCUUGACGGGGAGCCGGCCUGGAAGGGGGACCGGCCACAAUGGGACCGGGAGACGGCCCAGACGCAUACGGGAGGAAGGAGUGGAGAAUAUCGGAGAAUGGGCGGAUGCCUGAAGCAGGAACGCCGCGUGCGGAAGGACGGUCUUCGGGAUGUAAACGGGUGUCGCCUGUAAGGAGGCGUGGGGAAGGUAAAUGGGUAAAGAGGCACGGCUAACUUCGUG